ACUUCUACUAUAAGAGUUGCUUAAUGAAGGAAAGAGCCUUGUGUUUUGAGCAGUGCGUAAGAUUACAUCACCCGGAUAAAUAUGCAUUAGGGAGCUCCUAAAGUUGGGAAUAGUGCCCACAGCGCCGGGAGCUGCUGCUGCUCAUCCCGGCCGGGCUCCGGGCCGCCCCCGCCGCUCCCUGUCCCUGCCGGGCAGCCACUAGAGUGACCGCCGGAGUCACCGCUGGAAUCGCGGCUGGCAUCACCCCCGGCGCCGGUGUCGGAGCAGCCCCGGCCCUGGAUGGAGCCUCUGGCCCUUGGCCUUUGGUUCCCGGCCAGUGGUUGCUCACCCAGCCCGACCGGAGCUCGGUGCGUGGCAGAGCAGCAGCGGCGUCCCUUCAGUGUCAUCCCAGAAUCACAGGAUCCUGAGGGCUGGAAGGGACCUCUGGAAAUCAUCCAGUGCAACCUCCCUGCCAAGGCAGGGUCACGCAGAGCAGGUGACACAGCGGUGGGUUUGGAAUGUCUCCAGAGAGGGAGAAUCCACACCCUUCCCGGGCAGCUGUUCUAGUGCUCUGCCGCUCUCAAUGUAAAGAAGUUCUUCCUCAUGUUGAAAUGAAGCUUGUUAGGUUUUAGUUUUUAGCCUUUGCUCCUCAUACUGUCAAUGGGUACCACUGGAAGGAGUCUGGUCCCUCCUCUUGGCACUCCUUUGAGAUAUUUAUCUGCAUUAAUGAGAUCCCCUCUCAGUCCUGUCUUCUCCAGAAUAAACAGGCCCAGCUCCCGCAGUCCCUCCUCAUCAGAGAUGUACUCCACACUCAUCAUCGUUGUGGCCCUUCUCCAGUAGCUCCUUGUCUUUCUUGUACUAAGAAGUAUCAAAAUGAAUCAGGAACUGGCAGGACAGUGAGGAUCACACCAACCCUGGGAGAGAUAAGCCUUUGUGCCAUUCUCUGAGAGGACAUGGCAUAAAGACACCAAAAUAAGGGCAAGCAGCCAAGUUGUGAACGACAUGCUGUGAUGAACUGGGAAAACAACAGGUUAAUUUCACUGCUGAACCGCUUUUGUGAACAGGACAGUGUCAGUAUCUAGUAGAUAGAUACUUAAUGAACAGUACAUUGAAAGUCACAGAAU
Molecule: long non-coding RNA, 1103 nt
Organism: Corvus hawaiiensis (hawaiian crow)
Lineage: Eukaryota; Metazoa; Chordata; Aves; Passeriformes; Corvidae
Exons: 2
Source: RefSeq, a predicted model, not a curated record